AUUCGAAGUUUGGAUCUUGAGCUUGGAAUAGCUCAAAGCUCUCCUGAAUUUUCCCCAGAAUCUGGAGUAAAGAAAUUCAUCUGUAAAAUAUUGUUACUCAAGUGUUUAUAGAUGUUAUAGUUAAUGUGAACUUUGCAAAAGGAUAUUCUUUAACAGAAACAUCACAUACCAACUCUGCGAUCAACCCAGGAAUCCGAUUUCCCAAAGGGAUCUAUUCCUGUCAGAAGAUGAUUUCUGAAGAAGUCUGUUGGCUAAGAUACCCAAAUGCAAAUGUGUAAUUCCAAUUGCUAUUGUACUAAAUUUCCUUGUUUCUAUCCCCCAGUCCUGGUUUCUAAACUUCUAUCUUAGGGGCUGACUCUCCCCUUGUGACCUGUCUGCCCAUCAGGGAAAGCAGUCGCUGGACAUCCCUCACAUCUCCAAGCAGAUUCCCAGCUACCUGACCAUAACUAUUGCUUUCCUUAAAUUUUGGGUCUUCUCCUAUGUUUUAAAUCAUGCAUACUCAUUCAGCUGGACAUAUAAUCUCUGAUUCAUCUCUCUAGUUGCUUCUAGGGUAAAAGCACUCAUAGGAGUCACUCAGAUGCCAGAUGCCAGCAUAACCUCGGCAAACAUACCAGCCUGACGCUCUGGACACAGCCUACAGUCAAUACCUCUCUCUCCUAAUGGGUCUUCCUGGCCUCUAAGUUCUUAUCUGGUACCCACUGCAGCUGGGAUCUUGGCAUAUUUGUGGUUCUGAACUUCCAAGGCCAGGCAGUUUUCCUGCUCAGGCCUCCCUCACUUGCAUGCUUGCAAAAGGAAUAAUUAAAAUUGCAGAAGCCAAGAGUGUGAAGGAAAUGAAAAACCAAAAAACCAUCUAGUGAUUUUUCUUGUUUCAUUCCAGAUUAUUUUCCAAAAGGGUGACCUUCCAUUGGAACCCAUCACUCUCUUCUUUUUCGGAAAUUCUUUCAGUGGCUUCUCCCCACUUGUCCUCAAGCUCUCCUUCAGUUGUCCAGGAUUUUUCAGUCUAGGAAUUUCUAGAGCACAAAGUUUUAUUUUGACCUUGGCAGAAGGAAAGGGAAGGAAGAAAGAAGAAUAUGAUGUGCCUGCUUCAGCUACCUUCUUGGCUGUUGGGACAAAUUGUUCUCAUCCAUCUGUUCAUCUGGACAAGGUCUUCAAAUACUUGAGGUAGUUAUGCUCACCAGUUCAUUGAUUGGUUUGCAGACUGUCAGUUACCCACAACCUGGCUUAGCCCAUCUGCCAACAUGGAUUUACUAGGAUGUGACUGCUGUGCAUGCUGCAUCUUCUUGGAGUCACCGGUGAGAGUUGGGUGAAAGGCAAACACUAAAAGGUGGCUGAGCAGCUCUGCAAGGGGGACUAGUCCUUCAAGAACACCUCAUAUUUCUCAGCAACAAGAUAUCCAGAGCUUGGUGCAUUGUAAACAGUUAAUAAAUGCUUAUUGAUUAACUGAUGGAUGUGUCA
This 1455-nucleotide long non-coding RNA is filed under the name Monodelphis domestica (gray short-tailed opossum). RNAcentral's name for it is "lncRNA (ENSMODG00000031047.2)". Lineage: Eukaryota; Metazoa; Chordata; Mammalia; Didelphimorphia; Didelphidae. The record is from RNAcentral.